Long non-coding RNA from Medicago truncatula (barrel medic), 3874 nucleotides. RefSeq lists it as uncharacterized. The transcript has 5 exons. Lineage: Eukaryota; Viridiplantae; Streptophyta; Magnoliopsida; Fabales; Fabaceae. The record is from RefSeq and is a predicted model, not a curated record.
AAAUAAGCCUUCUUUGAUACAACAAUAUGAUUGUCCAUCUUCUCUCACCAUCUCCUCCACUCCUCUCCCUCUUUCCUCCUUUACCACUGCAACCCUUCCUCGGCUGUCCAAGCGGCGGUGAUCUUCCCUCUUCUAAAAUAAUUACACGAAAUCAGUGAAAUUAUCAGUGAGAGAGUUUUGUCUUUGUUGUGCAGCAAGCAAGCAAACUAUAACGGUAACAGUCUUCCAUUUCAAUCCUCUCAGAUCUCAAUCAAACCCUAACAAUUUUCUUCUUCUCCGGACUCCGUUUUUCUCAGAUUCAUUCAUCUCCGGUUCGGUUACUUCUCAAUUUUCCGGUGAGAUUUUACAAUAAAAUAACCCUAACUCUAUUUUGCUUCACUCCACCUAAAGUCAUUCUCCCCUUCUGCUCCGACCUUCAGUCUCGUCGUCGCGACCUUUGUCGCCGCCGUUUCGGCCUUCUGAAGGAGGAGAUGUUAAUGCUGCCAGAAGCGACGACGACAGAGAGGAUCAAAUGUUGUUGUUGUUGCGGUCGGAGGUGGAGAGUGAAGAAGAGAGUGUUAAGUUGUGUGAGGAGAUGUGUGGAGUAGAAGGGGGAGGACGUCAGUGGAGGGAGGGAGAGGGUGGUGGUUGCCGCCGGUGGAUGGAGGAAAGGGGGUGGCUGUGAUGAUGAAUGAUGAUAAUAGGAAAGAAGAAGAAGGAAAGGGUUUGCAAGUUCUAUUCCAGAGGCAUAUGUUUGCAGUGGGAGUAAUGUAAUUUUUCUCAUCAUUUGAUGUAUAAUUUAAUAGCACUAGAUUGGAAUACUAAGGCUUAAACUCAUUUUAUUUAAUUUAACAACCAUGUCAAAGUUUUCUUGAAAGAAGGACUGCACUUCCCUUAGUUUUUAUCAGAUUUAUUUAAUUUAAUUUUGUAAUAUCACUCUACCCUUAGAUUUAUGCUUCAUAUACUUUUUGAAACUAACUGUGUUAUAGUUAAUACACACUACCCCUAGAUUUAUGCUUCAUAUAAUUUAAUUUUGGGAUUUUUGAAACUAACUGAUUCAAAUAAGUAAAGCAUCUGGAUUAUAUUGUGAUUGAUCAUAUUUUAUUGGCUUCCAAAUACCCUUUUAUACUUGCCUCGAGAGGUUUUCCAGAAGGUAGAAAGGAUGGACGUUUAUGGUUGGCUUAUGAGCUAGAGAUCCUAAAAUUAGAAUGAAUCUCUUGGAAAAACUCUUUUCACCAGGCCUCAAUUCGUCAUCCAAGCUCGAGACUGGGAAGCUUUGAGUGAUGUCCUCUGGCUCAAAGAAGGCCUUGAUCAUCUUCUCUUGACAAUAUUAGUUGAUCAUAAACCUAUGUGUCAAGCUCUCUUCUUGAAACAUCGGUAAUGCAGCACAAGGUUAAUGAUGCAUCUGGAAGAGUUGAGGAUGCUCCGCUAACAUUUGAUACCCUUGCAGUUAAGCAUACUCAGUUUCUUAAUAGUAUCAGCAAACUCAAUUCUUAAUAGUAUUAGCACACUCAAGGUAAACAUACUUAUGUUCAGUGUUUUCUUAACAUGACCCUUUCUAUUAUAUUUUAAAUUUUUUUGCCCAGGUGAUCAUGUUACAUUGAUAAUGUGUCGGCUUAUGGCAAGAGUUUUGAGAAGAAUGAAAUUCUGCUCGAUAGUCUAUGGAAAUUGCCUGAUUGGAGAUAAUGAGCAUGUUAUUCCUAAAGAUCAAGCUGAAGAAACUCCUAAACUACAUUUGAUUUAAGCAUACUUUGCUCUUCAUGAAAACAAUAUAAGUGGCGUGGGGGAUGCUGAGUUCAGGGUGGGUAAAGGGAUCUUGCUCUGGAACAAUGAAUGGCAGCUGCCAGAAAUGCCUGUUCAUUUCAGGGUUCCCCAUCUGCAGCAAUUGCAACAAUUAGUUGAAGUUCAAGAGUCGGCUUGGGUCCUAAUAGACAGUUCCAAUGGAAAUAAACUCUCUGGGAAUUCAGCAGUUGGCGUGCAUGGAAACCUUUAUGCUGAUCUGAAGGAUAUCCUUGAGACAUGGAGGCUAAGAACUCUAAAUCAAUGGGAUUGUGUAUCUAUAUGGUAUGAUUUUCGGGUAUGAGAGAUCUUCUAUUAGACCUAUGCAUGACCUUUCCUUGCCCGUUUGAGCUCUCUGUUACCAUAACUGUCUCGUCUUAUGAAGCCUCUGGUAUUAUGCCUUAAGGGAAGUGAUGGACUAGUAAGUCUUGGUUUAUUAACACUAGAGGCUUUGGUAGAUAAUUUAAAUCCCGACUUCCUAGAGCCUAGUAUGGCCAAUGUCAUGUCUGAGGUGAUUAUUGCCUUGUGGUCUCACUUAAGACCAGCUCCCUAUCAUUGGGGGUGCUAAAGCAUUUCAGCUUCUUGGAAAGUUGGGUGGCUGAAACAGACGAUUCCUCAAAGAUUCUCUGGCACUUGUGUGUAAAGACUGAAGAGAACCCUGAGCACGGGCUUUUUGCCUAAUUUUAACAUUUUAGCCUGUCCCCCAUUCUUGGCGGUGCAUAAAUCUGGCUGUAGAGGCUAUAGUGCACAGAAAUUGCGGCAUGGAUGCUUUCUAUCGGAAGAAGGCUCUAAAGUUCCUUCUCGUUUGCUUAUCAUCUCAGCUCAAUUUGCAUGGAACUGUUGCUGAUGAGGGACACACAUCCUAGCAGCUGUCUGCAUUGUUUCUACGGUUGAUCAAUCAUGACGCAGGUCUGAGUCAAUUGAUGUAAAGAUAAAAACCGUUAAAGUCAUCAAUGUUUCCUUGGGAGCAGCAAAGCGGGACAUUCUGGAGUUCUUCACUUUUUGUGGGGACAUUGCAUAUGUUGAACUACGGAGUCAUGAUGAAGGAUCGCAAACUGCGUAUGUUACCUUCAAGGAUACACAUGGAGCUGAGACUGCAGUGUUGCUAUCGGUACGAUGGUGCAAAUAGAUUCUAUGAGUCUGUUGACGUACGCCAUGAGGUUAGGAAAAAUAAUGUCUCUCGACGUCGAUACGAAAAGAACCGGAGUCGCGUUCCAUGAUCCACGGUUGAUUACGCAGCCACUGCCUCGUAUAUAUGAGUAUAAUUUCUAGACCAAAUUCGAUUUAGAAUCUAUUAAUAUAUUGCUAUAUUUGAUUUGGAAUCAAUUAAUAUUCUGAUCCCAUUUAUUCAAUGCAAUAAAAUAAGGACAAGUGGUCCGACUCAUUAUCAACUAAUCUAUUCCCUCCGUUCCUACAUCUACAAAACUAUUUGACUAAAAAAAUUGUCCCUAAAUGUAAACCCCUUUUCAAUUAAAUUAAUAGAUGCAUUUAUUAUUUUGUGGCUGUUAGUUUGUUUUGUUGUUUGUAUGUUAGUGGUUUUGUAUUUGAGACUUUUUCAUGCAUGCAUGUGUAUUGUGUUAAUAUUAAACCACAUUUAAAUGGUCAUAGCAUUUCUGUCUGUUUCCAAAAUUAUCUCUAUUUCUUAAUAGAAAAAUUAAUUAUCUUACUAGACAAUUAAAUAUUAGAUAAUUAUGUAGUUUAUUAGACUUCACCGGUCCGCUUAACUUGUUUCUAUAAUUUAUUUCUCUUUCUUGUGUUUUGUCUCAUUUCUCUUUAAAAUAAAACUCUUCCUUUUAAUAUGCAAAAAAAAUCAUUUUUUACGGUUAUAAUCUAAUUCAACACCGGAGGAUAAUUAAAUUUACCCUUAUUUGUUUUUUAGCUUAAUUAAGAUGGAGGAAAGGUACAAGACACUUUGCAAAAAUCCAUUUGCUUUACAAAAUGAGAAAUGACAUGAGCUGCUAAGGUGUUCUACAGCCAUCGCUGAAGAAAUAUGAUAUUUGAAGUGUUAAUUAUAUGACUUUUCUGUCAUUAUUUUUGUUUGUUUCAGUUAUUUUCUGUCAAUUAAUGGUUCCUACAUUUUAAUUUAAUAAUUUGUGUAUAGGCAGACACAUGACAA